Molecule: ribosomal RNA, 403 nt
Filed under: uncultured bacterium
Lineage: Bacteria
Description: partial 16S ribosomal RNA
Rfam family: Bacterial small subunit ribosomal RNA
Source: RNAcentral
GACGAACGCUGGCGGCGUGCCUAAUACAUGCAAGUCGAACGCAGUGGGGACGGGUGAGUAACACGUGGGCAACCUCCCAUCAGAGGGGAUAACACUUGGAAACAGGCGCUAAUCCGAUACUGACUGAUGGAGCCGCGGUGCAUUAGCUAGUUGGUGAGGUAACGGCUCACCAAGGCCACGAUGCAUAGCCGGCCUGAGAGGGUGAUCGGCCACACUGGGACUGAGACACGGCCCAGACUCCUACGGGAGGCAGCAGUGGGGAAUAUUGCACAAUGGGCGCAAGCCUGAUGCAGCCAUGCCGCGUGUAUGAAGAAGGCCUCCGGGUUGUAAAGCACUUUCAGCGGGGAGGCGUUACUCGCAGAAGAAGCACCGGCUAACUCCGUGCCAGCAGCCGCGGUAAUAC